RNAcentral lists this ribosomal RNA (199 nucleotides) under uncultured bacterium. Its description in RNAcentral is "partial 16S ribosomal RNA". It matches the Rfam family "Bacterial small subunit ribosomal RNA", at positions 1294 to 1500 of the family's 1533-position model. The record is from RNAcentral.
CGGAUUGGAGGCUGAAACCCGCCUCCAUGAAGUUGGAUUCGCUAGUAAUCGCGCAUCAGCCAUGGCGCGGUGAAUACGUUCCCGGGCCUUGUACACACCGCCCGUCAAGCCAUGGGAGCUGGGGGUGCCUGAAGUUCGUGACCGCAAGGAUCGACCUAGGGCAAAACCGGUGACUGGGGCUAAGUCGUAACAAGGUAAC